AGAACGAACGCUGGCGGCAUGCCUAAUACAUGCAAGUCGAACGAACUCUUCGGAGUUAGUGGCGCACGGGUGCGUAACGCGUGGGAAUCUGCCCCUUGGUUCGGAAUAACAGUUGGAAACGACUGCUAAUACCGGAUGAUGACGAAAGUCCAAAGAUUUAUCGCCAAGGGAUGAGUCCCGCGUAGGAUUAGCUAGUUGGUGAGGUAAAGGCUCACCAAGGCAACGAUCCUUAGCUGGUCUGAGAGGAUGAUCAGCCACACUGGGACUGAGACGCGGCCCAGACCUCCGUACGGGAGCAGCGAGUAGGGAAUAGUUGGACAAGUGGGACGAAAGCCUGAUCCAGCAAUCGCCGCGUGAGUGAUAGGAAGGUCCGUUAGGUUAGUAAGCUUACUUUUACCGAGUAUAGAAUAGUGACAGUAGUACGGAA
Molecule: ribosomal RNA, 427 nt
Filed under: uncultured soil bacterium
Lineage: Bacteria
Description: bacterial SSU rRNA
Rfam family: Bacterial small subunit ribosomal RNA
Source: RNAcentral